This is an RNA transcript of Carassius carassius (crucian carp), 2987 nucleotides long. It is a transcript of the gene named calpain 3b, with no coding region annotated. The record is from RefSeq and is a predicted model, not a curated record. The transcript has 21 exons. NCBI's taxonomy places the organism in Eukaryota, Metazoa, Chordata, Actinopteri, Cypriniformes, Cyprinidae.
GUUAGCUUCCAAAAGGAACAGGGAAAAGUUGCAAGCACAUGUGAGCAUGUGUGUGAACCGGUGCAGAGCGUCUGCCUUAGCGUGAGUGUUUAUUUGCGUACAUGACCAGGGGUGUGCCUCCAUCAGAAUAUAAAGGAACUGAGGAGUGAAAUAAGGAUUAAGGGCUAAGAGAAAAUUGAGUAUCUCGGAUACUGAUACUGAGCUCUAUUUCUUCAUCGCUUCUUUGGCAUCUGUCAUCAAAUAGCAAUAUGGCAGAAGAACAAAAGUUGUCAGAAACAUCUGUCCAGCUGACUGAGGCCGCUCCACAGACUAUGGGCAGUGGUUUUACUGCCCCAGGAAGCAUUUAUUCAGCCAUUUUAAGCCGCAACGACGCUGUUAAAGAUGCUAGGCGUCUCAAGGACUUUCAGGAGCUCAGAGACAAAUAUGUACUUAAGAAAGUGCUGUUUGAAGACCCGUUGUUCCCUGCCCAAGAUUCCUCUCUCUUUUACAGUGAAAAGUUCCCUCUAAAGCUUGAAUGGAAGCGCCCGUCGGAUAUCUGUAGCAAUCCACAGUUCAUUCUUGGGGGAGCCAACAGGACAGAUAUCUGCCAAGGAGACCUGGGAGACUGCUGGCUGCUGGCUGCCAUUGCUUGCCUGACCCUUAAUGAUGUAGUUCUGACGAGGGUGGUUCCGCAUGACCAGAGCUUCACUGAAAACUAUGCUGGCAUUUUCCAUUUCCAGUUCUGGCGCUAUGGAGAGUGGGUGGAUGUGGUUGUGGAUGAUCGACUUCCUACAUACAGAAACCAGUUAGUGUUCACCAGGUCUGGACAGAAGAAUGAAUUUUGGAGUGCUCUUCUGGAGAAGGCAUAUGCAAAACUACACGGCUCUUAUGAGGCUUUAAAGGGAGGAAACUCACUGGAAGCCAUGGAGGACUUCACUGGAGGAUUAACAGAGUUCUAUGAGAUUACAGAGGCCCCGAAGGAGCUCUACAACAUCAUGAGAAAGGCUCUGAAGAGAGGGUCCCUCAUGAGCUGUGCCAUUGAUGUUUUGGUUCCAACUGCUCAAAGGACUAAAACAGCAUCUGGACUUGUGACAGGCCAUGCAUAUUCAAUCACUGGCGUUGAGCAGGGUAAACGCAAGGAUGGAAAAGACCUAAUGAUCCGUCUGGUUCGUGUGCGAGACCCCUGGGGAGUUGCCCCCCCUCCUGCCUGUAAGUCUAAUGACUGGGUUGCACUAGCCACAUCUGAGCAAGACAAGGAGAGACUCAGACCUACAGAGCAAGGGGAGUUCUGGAUGUGCUUUGAAGAAUUUAAGAAGAACUUCACCAAACUGGAGAUCUGUAAUCUCACCCCAGACACUCUUGAGGAUGACCAGAUGCUCAAGUGGAAUGUGACCAUACAUGAGGGCCGAUGGGUGAAAGGCUGCUCUGCUGGUGGCUGCAGAAACUUUCCAGAAACAUACUGGACAAACCCUCAGUUCCACCUGGUUCUUCUGGAGGCGGACACUAAAGAGAAGACCUGCACUGUGGUGGUGGCAUUAAUGCAGAAGGGCAGAAGAAAAGAGCGCAGCUCAGGUGCCACCCUACACAACAUUGGGUUCGCCAUCUAUGAGGUUCCUAAAGAGAUGAAGGGCAACCAACAACAGCUGCAAAAGGAUUUCUUCCUAUAUAAUGCUUCCACAGCUCGCUGCAAGUCUUACGUCAACAUGCGUGAGGUGACGGAGCGCUUCUGCCUGAAACCGGGCGAGUAUGUCAUCAUUCCAUCCACCUUCGAUCCCCACAAGGAAAGCGAGUUUCUGCUCAGAGUCUUCUCUGAGAGCAGGAGCAGCUCAGAGGUUAUAGAUGGAGAGAUUGAGGUGGAGCCUGUGACGGAUGUCAAGAAGAAAAUCAAGCCAUUUGAGGAGGAGGAGACUGAAGAGGAAAAGCAGUUCAGAGCCAUCUUUCAGCAGAUGGCUGGAGAUGACAUGCAGAUUAAUGCCAAUGAACUUAGAACUGUCCUUAACAGAGUGGUAACCAAACAUAAAGAGUUGAAAACAGAGGGUUUCUGUCUAGAGAGCUGCAGAAGUAUGAUUGCACUUAUGGAUACUGAUGGGACAGGCCACCUAAACCUGCAAGAGUUUAAACACUUAUGGAACAAGAUUAAAAAGUGGAAGCUGGUGUUCACACGUUAUGACACAGACAAAUCCAGUACGAUCAGCAGUUUUGAGAUGAGGAAUGCUCUUACUGAAACAGGUUUUCAACUCAACAAUCAGCUGUAUGACAUCAUUUGUAUGCGAUACGCCAAUGAACACAUGGAGUUGGAUUUCGACAGCUACAUUAGCUGCUUAGUGCGACUCGAGGGAAUGUUCAGUAAGUGUGAUAGUAUUUUCUGUUCAGACAUAUUUUUCUUCUAAAACUUUGUAGCGAUUGGAUAGAUGUAGUGAAAGACAUUCUUCUACAGGGGCAUUCAGAGCCUUUGACAGGGAUGGAGAUGGCAUUAUCAAACUCAAUGUUUUUGAGUGGCUUCAACUGACCAUGUAUGCCUAAAGACACAAACACAGAUGCCUGGUGGAAGCCUGGUGGAAAGCAAGUGGUCUUUUCCCAUUUUCAACUUCCAUUAAGUGGAGAAAGGUCUGGAUUCAAAUCAAUUGUACUGUACACCACUGCAGCUUCUUUCUUCAGCAAAUGCUGGUCUAGAACAAACUGGAUUGAUUAUGAGCUACUGAACGGACCAUGACGGCUCAUUUAUGUCUUGUAAAAAGCACUUAUUUGGUUGAGUAUCCCUUUAAGGUGACAGAAUGUUGUCAAAUUAAAUGUCAUGCCUAAAACGACACUCAUUUGAACCAAUCCUUAGAAAAUGUGUGCUACUGUGCAAUCGUAAAUAAUUCAACUGAAUAAAGAUUCCAACAUUUCGGCUGAUCUAUUCCAGUUGUUACUAUAGCCAUGAUUUGCAAAACAUAAACAAACAGCACAUAAUAGUACAAAAGAUGUGUGUCAUGGCUGCAAACAAAGGAUUAACCGUAUGAACAAAA